GAUGAACGCUGGCGGCGUGCCUAAUACAUGCAAGUCGAGCGAAUGGAUUAAGAGCUUGCUCUUAUGAAGUUAGCGCCGGACGGGUGAGUAACACGUGGGUAACCUGCCCAUAAGACUGGGAUAACUCCGGGAAACCGGGGCUAAUACCGGAUAACAUUUUGAACCGCAUGGUUCGAAAUUGAAAGGCGGCUUCGGCUGUCACUUAUGGAUGGACCCGCGUCGCAUUAGCUAGUUGGUGAGGUAACGGCUCACCAAGGCAACGAUGGGUAGCCGACCUGAGAGGGUGGUCGGCAACACGGGGACUGAGACCCGGCCCAGACUCCUACGGGAGGCAGGAGUAGGGAAUCUUCCGCAAUGGACGAAAGUGUGACGGAGCAACGCCGCGUGAGUGAUGAAGGCUUUCGGGUCGUAAAACUCUGUUGUUAGGGAAGAACAAGUGCUAGUUGAAUAAGCUGGCACCUUGACGGCACCUAACCAGAAAGCCACGGCUAACUACGUGCCAGCCGCCGCCGUAA
This 515-nucleotide ribosomal RNA is filed under the name uncultured bacterium. RNAcentral describes it as "partial 16S ribosomal RNA". It matches the Rfam family "Bacterial small subunit ribosomal RNA", at positions 28 to 523 of the family's 1533-position model. The record is from RNAcentral.